This 472-nucleotide ribosomal RNA is filed under the name Helcon sp. RNAcentral describes it as "partial 16S ribosomal RNA". Lineage: Eukaryota; Metazoa; Arthropoda; Insecta; Hymenoptera; Braconidae. The record is from RNAcentral.
CUGCUCCAUGAAAUUUAUUUUUAAAUAGCUGCAGUAUAAAUAACUGUACAAAGGUAGCAUAAUAAUUAGUUUUUUAAUUAAAAACUAGAAUGAAUGAUUUAAUGAAAUAUAAACUUUUUUAAUAAAAUUAAUAAUUAAAUUUAUUAUUUAAGUAAAAAAACUUAAAUAAAUUUAAAAGACGAGAAGACCCUAAGAAUUUUAUAAUAAUUUAAUUAAAAUUAAUUUAUUAAUAUUUUAAAAUUUAUAUUAUUAUUUAAUUGGGGAAAUUUUAAAAUUAAAUAAAUUUUUAAUUUUUAUUAAACAUUAAUAUAUGAAUUAAUUUAAUUUAAAUUUUAAAUAAAAAUAAAAUUACCUUAGGGAUAACAGCAUAAUUUUUUUUUUAAGAUCAAAUUUAAAAAAAAGUUUAUGACCUCGAUGUUGAAUUAAGAUUAAAUAAAAAUGAAAAAAUUUUUAAUUUUAAGUCUGUUCGACU